Molecule: long non-coding RNA, 774 nt
Organism: Rhododendron vialii
Lineage: Eukaryota; Viridiplantae; Streptophyta; Magnoliopsida; Ericales; Ericaceae
Exons: 2
Source: RefSeq, a predicted model, not a curated record
AGAGAGAGAGAGAGAGAGAGAGAGAGAGAGAUCAGCCGGUGGAGAAGAAGAAGAAAGAAGGAAAGAAAGGAGGAAAUAGGUGACGAGUCGGUGAAUCAAGGAGCACCGAAACCAUAGUUGUACUUUCUUUUGGAGUACGAGGUGAGUGUUUGAUUUAUAGAUGUUAUUCUAUAUUGAAUUAAACUUGAAUGUUGGCUUAGUGCCCGAUGAUUGGCUUUAUGCCAAAAGGCUUUUAUGCCUUAAAUUAUUGGCUGUGUGCCCGGUGAUUGGCUUUAUGCCAUAGGGCUUUACGCCUUAAACUAUUGGCUGUGUGCCCGGUGAUUGGCUUUAUGCCAUAUGGCUUUAUGCCUUAAACUAUUGGCUGUGUGCCCGGUGAUUGGCUUAAUGCCAAAAGGCUUAUGCCUUAAAUUAUUAGCUGCUUGUCUGGUGUUACUUUUUAUUUCUCGAUAAACUGUUACAAGUUGAGAAUAUCUUUUAGCUGUACCUUUAAUAUGGAAUUGCAUCCAUGUCUCAUAACACUCCUGGAUUCCAUUUUGGAAUCCAAUUUUGCAGGCGUUGUAGAUAUCCACUGCUGAUCGUCGUGGGGUUGUACACUCGCUUAGGGUAGCAUGUUGGGAAGGUUGGACUAGUUUUGGCAAAAUUUUGUAGAUAGGGAUGUAGUUGCAGCCUAUGUUCAUAUUUGGUUUAUUGUAUAGUUUAAUGCUUUCUUAAGACUUCCGCUGUGUUUGUAAGAACGUUAAGUUUUGCGUUAUCAAUAAAAUGGUUGUUGGUUAA